AAAACACACACAUUGCAAUUUUAUUUCAUUUCAGUAACUGCAAAAAAUCCUCUAGCAGAAAAGGACACAGAAACUUCUAAAGCUCUUUUUCCCAUUAACUUCAAGUAACGCGUUCCUUCCAGAAAGGAAAUCUGUCUAUGUAGGAAGCUCCUCAAUCACUGCUCUGCAGCCUCUGCUUUUGUAAGAAAAUAGCAAGGAUAAUAAAAUUUUGCAUUUUAGCUUUUCCUAAUAUCACACAGUCCUAGCCAACCAACAGUUUAUUAUAACAUCAAGCAUCUGGGGCAGGACAUAAAAAGCACUACGGUUCCCACAUGACAAGUGGAUUUCAGACCAUUAUUAGCAACAGCAGAAUGGCCCACUCUAAUAACUAUAUGUAGGCUUUUAACAGUUUGAUUUUGCUUGUCAUUUUAAGACACUUCCAGUGCAUGCCAGAACUAAGACAAAAUCAAAGUGUGAGCAUCCUGUCAAGCAGCAUAGAGGAGAAAAUGCUACACAGACCAAUGGCAGGGACUUGUACUGAAAUUACUGCUCCGUAAGAUUUUUGUCAUCUCUAACAACUAAGUUGUACUUGAAAAAUAUAAAACCAACUUACUUGUGGCUAAAAACUUGGCGAACUCCCAGACACUUUUGCUGGGAAAAGCUAGUGCACUAGAUUUCCAACUUUCUUUUCUUACACAACUGCCAGUCAGGACUACCUGAGAAAGGAGUCAGAUACCAGUCAGGGGACUCCAGCGCUAACUGGAAAGUUACAGCCAGAAACAAAGGGGCAGGCACGUAGGGUGCCUACGUACAGCAGAACGGCCCCAGCACUAAUCAUCAAGGAAAAGGUAGAUAGUGCAGAAUCACCGAAUCAUUUAGGUUGGAAAAGACCUCUAGGAUCACGUAGCCCGACCUCCGAAGCACCACCCCCACUGCAGCACGCCAAGGCCGCACCCUGGGCGCACUCCUUGCUGCCCAGACGUGGUCCUACAUCCGAUGCUUGGGCUGGACCAAAGGAGCCACCUGCACCAUGGGGCGCUGCCAGAGGGGCUGUGCACUGCAAGGGACAGGGCAGCGCUCUCCGUGUACUUCUCUUCCAUGUGCUUAUCUCGGACCACCUAUGGGAACAGAUGGUGUUACCGCAAGGGCAAGGGGCUUCUGAGCCAGCACGGCUGCCGGAUGACGUGUGGCCAGUUUCCUCCGGCCCAGCAAACCAGCCCCAACGCUCCCACUGGGUCUGAUUUAACGGGUUUCUUUCUGAGGGACAACGAAGACCUCCCCUGCAUGGUAACAGCCGCAGCACGUUUGGCCAUGAAGAUCAGAUGCUGCUCUCAUACCAAUCUGGAAACAACCUUCAAAUAUAAGAACCCAGCGCACUGUGCAAAUAAGGAGAAAAGAGUUUACUUUGAUGGAAGUGGAUCAUGUGUUGUCUUGCCAGAAAAGUUCUGCUUCGUAGGUUGGCAUCCUUUUUUUUCUACUUGUCUUCUACUGCAUUAGGAGAAACUGGGAUUUCACUGCAGGAUGAAAUUAUUCACGUUAGUUUUGUUACUGAGAGCUUCUGCAACCCAGUACAAAAAAGGCUAAGAAAAACAGAUGAAGCUUUUAAAUGGACAGAUGGACAGAUGUUUUGGGCACGUGAAUGCAGAAGAACAAUGGAGUAUGACAAACUCACAGCCACACCCACAAACAUAAAGAAGAAAGAAAAGUAACAUAAACUGUGGAGGGGUAAUUGUGACCAGCUAAUCCUUUAUGUCUUUAUUCUAUGUGUGAACUCUGAAGUCAUAAGUCAUGUUAGUUUAGUGCUCAACUGUUUUCUACUCUGUGUUUGCCAUUAGAGGCUCAUUAGGCAUCAGCAUGUGGGAAAAGAUCUUUCUGUCAGUCGACACCUUAAUAUUUUUUCCCAGCAUCGACUUCUUCCAUCCAUAAUGAACAGUAUGUCAGAGCAAUAACCAUUGCUGGACUGUCCAUGUCUUAAAAGAACUGUCACCUAUACUAGGAAAUUAAGCUUGGUUUUAACCACUUAAAAGAAAUCAGUGUUAUGGAAUUGUGUAGCUAGAUACGUUUCAGUUCUCCAAAGACAGGUGCAGAAAUAAGUCUCCUGAAGGGUCCUGAAUGCUGACAUCUAGGUUGUAUAGUGUUAUGCACACAUGUUCGGGCCUUUUUAGGCUUUGGCCAGCAUCGUAACUGGCUAAUGAUGCAAGGCAGAAAGCAAAGCUCCACAUGUCCUACAUGUCCUGAAUGGCAAUACUCCAAAUAAUGUAAAUCAUUACAUCACUUCUUUAUUAUGCCUUGCAUUAUCAAUUUAAAAAGUGUGAAUACUUGAAUACUACCGUGGGAAAAAGCUGGAGGAAGGCUGUGGGAAUUGUGAGAUACAGAUUUUAUUAAUGACUGUUAAUGACUUCACAUGUGAUUUUAAGCAGGUAAUUAGGACUAAAUGCUCAAACUAUCCACUUUACUUCAGAAACCUAAUAUAUCUCAUCAGAUAUUUCGCAAUUAA
RNAcentral lists this long non-coding RNA (2476 nucleotides) under Anser brachyrhynchus (Pink-footed goose). Its description in RNAcentral is "lncRNA (ENSABRG00000002118.1)". Lineage: Eukaryota; Metazoa; Chordata; Aves; Anseriformes; Anatidae. The record is from RNAcentral.